GCGAUGGACAACAAGGAUGCAUUUGAUUGUUUCAUUUCUGUGAAACCGAAAGUAAAAUAUCGACUUGAGGAGAGCAACUGAAAAACUGUUUGAUAUUCAUUGUUGAAGUAUCCAGCAGCAAAGACAGAUGAUGGGGAAAGAGAACCAACAUAGACCAUUAACCAUGAGCUAUAGAGACGCCCUUCAAACGCAAUCUAACACAGUAAGGACUUCUGCUAGACCAGCAGCCUCUACUACUGCCCAGAAUAGUUACCUGACUAGACUGAGGAGCAGCCUGCAUGACCUGAUGAACCAGCACCCAGAGGGAGUACCUCUUGGCCUCCCUCCCCGAUGUGGUGAGGCUUCAGGGGAUCGGGGUACAGACACUGGUGCUCCCAGCACUAGGCCAUUGUGGAGGUGGGACGGAUGCCGGUCGUGUUGGUUGUCGCUAGCCUUCUUGACCUAUGCCAAGCAGGGACCAGGCCGUCCGCAAAGAGACCGAUUUCAAGAUUCCAAUCAAAGUCAAGCCAACGGAAGAACCUCAAAUGUACACGGCCCAUAACGAUAUCAGGGAAAAGCAUUAGGGAAGUCUACAUACAAGACAAUGGCACAUCCUACAAGACGGGAUACACACAAUCAACACAUUCUUACCAUGAAAGUACACGCCUGUGAAUUACAGAUUGAUGAUUUUUUACAUUUUUAGACUGUGGAAAUACAAUUCAUUCAAUGAUUUUAUAUACAUAUAUAUAUACAUACACACACACAUACAUAUACACACACACACACAGAUAUAUAUAUAUACAUAUAUAUACACACACACAUACACAUAUAUAUAGUAU
Molecule: long non-coding RNA, 818 nt
Filed under: Salmo salar (Atlantic salmon)
Lineage: Eukaryota; Metazoa; Chordata; Actinopteri; Salmoniformes; Salmonidae
Description: lncRNA (ENSSSAG00000104105.1)
Source: RNAcentral